This 460-nucleotide ribosomal RNA is filed under the name uncultured bacterium. Its description in RNAcentral is "partial 16S ribosomal RNA". It matches the Rfam family "Bacterial small subunit ribosomal RNA", at positions 338 to 795 of the family's 1533-position model. The record is from RNAcentral.
CCUACGGGUGGCAGCAGUGAGGAAUAUUGGUCAAUGGGCGCAAGCCUGAACCAGCCAAGUCGCGUGAGGGAUGACGGUCCUAUGGAUUGUAAACCUCUUUUGUCGGGGAGCAAGGCCCGCCACGUGUGGCGGGAAGGAGAGUACCCGAAGAAAAAGCAUCGGCUAACUCCGUGCCAGCAGCCGCGGUCAUACGGAGGAUGCGAGCGUUAUCCGGAUUUAUUGGGUUUAAGGGGUGCGUGGGCGGAAGGUUAAGUCAGCGGUAAAAUGUCGGGGCUCAACACCGGCCGGCCGUUGAAACUGGACUUCUUGAGUGAGCGAGAAGUAUGCGGAAUGCGUGGUGUAGCGGUGAAAUGCAUAGAUAUCACGCAGAACUCCGAUUGCGAAGGCAGCAUACCGGCGCUCAACUGACGCUGAGGCACGAAAGCGUGGGGAGCAAACAGGAUUAGAUACCCUAGUAGUC